GCUGAAAGCAUCUAAGCGUGAAGCCGUCCACAAGAUAAGAUAUCCCACUGGGUUAACCAGGUAAGACCCCUUGUAGACUACAAGGUUGAUAGGCCGGAGGUGUAAGCGUGGUAACACGUUUAGCUGACCGGUACUAAUAGGUCGAGGCCUCGACCCU
This 157-nucleotide ribosomal RNA is filed under the name Candidatus Fermentithermobacillaceae bacterium. RNAcentral describes it as "partial 23S ribosomal RNA". It matches the Rfam family "Bacterial large subunit ribosomal RNA", at positions 2770 to 2925 of the family's 2925-position model. The record is from RNAcentral. Lineage: Bacteria; Bacillati; Bacillota; Candidatus Fermentithermobacillia; Candidatus Fermentithermobacillales; Candidatus Fermentithermobacillaceae.